GACGUAGGGGGCAAGCGUUGUCCGGAAUGACUGGGCGUAAAGGGCGUGUAGGCGGCCGCGCAGGUGGGGUCACGAAGGCUCCGGCUCAACCGGAGCAGGGGCGCCAAACCGCGCAGCUGGAGGGCAGGAGAGGUGCGUGGAAUUCCCGGUGGAGCGGUGAAAUGCGUAGAGAUCGGGAAGAACACCCGUGGCGAAGGCGGCGCACUGGCCUGGCCCUGACGCUGAGGCGCGAAAGCGUGGGGAGCGAACGGG
RNAcentral lists this ribosomal RNA (252 nucleotides) under uncultured Sulfobacillus sp. RNAcentral describes it as "partial 16S ribosomal RNA". It matches the Rfam family "Bacterial small subunit ribosomal RNA", at positions 524 to 776 of the family's 1533-position model. Lineage: Bacteria; Bacillati; Bacillota; Clostridia; Eubacteriales; Clostridiales Family XVII. Incertae Sedis. The record is from RNAcentral.